GCUGGGACUCGCAGGGGCUGUCCCCCAACUCACAGCGCUCACCAGAAAACAGCCCGGGGCAGAUGCACGUGUAACCUGCAGAGAUAACACACAUGUAAGGAAAGAACUGAAUCCUCAUCAGGUUUGGAAGCAGGCCUUCAAGCAACCUCACGCUCAGGGUUUAAAGAAGAGACCUCCAGCAACUGGCCAGGAGAUAAGAUCAUCUCACCAGCUUCUUAAAGGACUGACAAACAUAUCACUCUUCACAUGCAAAUUAUCUGACUGUAGAGUGAGAUGGAUAGGGGAUGACUCACACCUGAAAGAGCUUUUUUCGUCUAAGAUGGGAAUUAAAGCAUUGACUUAGA
Molecule: non-coding RNA, 344 nt
Organism: Coturnix japonica (Japanese quail)
Lineage: Eukaryota; Metazoa; Chordata; Aves; Galliformes; Phasianidae
Source: RefSeq, a predicted model, not a curated record